This 301-nucleotide ribosomal RNA is filed under the name uncultured bacterium. RNAcentral describes it as "partial 16S ribosomal RNA". It matches the Rfam family "Bacterial small subunit ribosomal RNA", at positions 509 to 809 of the family's 1533-position model. The record is from RNAcentral.
CAGUCGCCACGGUAAUACGAAGGGUGCAAGCGUUAAUCGGAAUUACUGGGCGUAAAGCGUGCGUAGGCGGUGAGUUAAGUCUGCUGUGAAAUCCCCGGGCUCAACCUGGGAAUGGCAGUGGAUACUGGCUCGCUAGAGUGUGUCAGAGGAUGGUGGAAUUCCCGGUGUAGCGGUGAAAUGCGUAGAGAUCGGGAGGAACAUCAGUGGCGAAGGCGGCCAUCUGGGACAACACUGACGCUGAGGCACGAAAGCGUGGGGGGCAAACAGGAUUAGAUACCCCAGUAGUCCCUGUCUCUUAUAA